GGCAAACAGAGGCAGAGCCACAGAGGGGCUGCUCGUCCCCAAAUGUCUCUCCAGCCGCUCUGAAGCUGCUGCGGGCUGCUGUGCUGGUGAUGGCUGAGAUCAUGAGAUGAGCCCCGGGGGUCCCUGGGCAUCCCUGGGAGGUCCUGCAGGUCCAUGGAGAAGGUGGAACACUGGACUAAAGAGACAGGCUGAGGAAGCCCUCAAGUCACCCCUGAUGGAGGCCAGACCUUGAAUGUUACAAUCCCUCUGCUUAUCGACCCUUAAUAAAAAUCUGAGCAGGUCUUCUCUGCAGGACACAGGAGGCUUUCUGGAAAAAAAAACAUGGAAAAGUGAGUCUCCUAAGCGUUCCCAAGUGAUUGAUGCAGGACACAUCUUAAAAGGAUGAAAGGAGGAUGGAGGAAAACUUCAGAAGGAAAUAACACAGUUUGAAUGAAAACACCUAUUUUGCAGAAAGUCCGGAAGUGCUCGACCAAGAGAUCGCGAGAUGGGAGCAGAGAGUACAGGAAAGGAAGGAGGAGAAAGAAAGGCUGGAAACCUUUGAAUGCACAAAAAAAACAGGUCAUGAAAGAUACCACGAGCCAACUAAAAUCUCUGGCUGAAAAUGUGCUGGACACCAUGCAGUUGGAAGAUUUCACUAGGGACCGCAGUGAUGAGGGGAACUUGGAAGCAGAGCUAAAGAGGAAAGCAGAAAAUGAAGAAACCACCCCCUUAAAAAUUAAGUAAAUUUUUUUAAAGUUAUGUGCAUACAUUCUGUAUAUACAGAAAAGAUAUCUAAAUUGUAUGCACGCAGAAGGAGCAUUGCCCCCACAAGGAACAGUUCAUGCUAAAUGGUGCAGAUGAAGAGACUUUGACAAAGGAAGUUUCCUGAGCUGUGGGCAGGGAUGAGAGCUCAGACAAAUGAUGGGAAGCCUCCCAGAUGCCAAGGUUUCCCACCCCCAGGUUUCAAGGGAGGAGAGAGGAAGUGAUGUCAUCUGAGCCCAGUGAGGCCCUGUCAAGGGACCAGGGAAAACUGCCCCCACUUUUUGCUCCCAUCCUCUCAUUGACUGCAGGUGCACAGGCAGCUGCCUGAAAGAGGGCCUGCGAAGUGCAAGCCAGAGGAGUUGGCCUCCAUGGCACAGAGCAGGCAGAAAACAAAUUUGGAGAAUGACCAGCACUCUUGGGUUUAUUUGACUGAAAGUGCUUGUUUUAUUGCAUUCACUCACAUCCAUUUAUUUAAUAAAUAUCCAUGGAGUGU
RNAcentral lists this long non-coding RNA (1234 nucleotides) under Homo sapiens (human). RNAcentral describes it as "HSALNT0404171". Lineage: Eukaryota; Metazoa; Chordata; Mammalia; Primates; Hominidae. The record is from RNAcentral.